RNAcentral lists this ribosomal RNA (499 nucleotides) under Arabidopsis thaliana (thale cress). The record is from RNAcentral. Lineage: Eukaryota; Viridiplantae; Streptophyta; Magnoliopsida; Brassicales; Brassicaceae.
GUCAAAAUUGGCAUGUGAUACCUUUUCGGAAAGCCCAAAGAGAGCUCUCCAAUGAAUGAGGAAAGACAUUGGAAUUCUUCUAUUGUUUUUUUUCUACUCUAAAUUUUGACCUUAAUGCACUUUUUCUAACCUUUUCAUGAUCUUUGUUAUAUUACGGGGCGAAAAUUAUAUGUUCGGACAUUUUUCUCGAAGAUUUAGCAUGUAUCAAAGCUCUUAUAAACAAGAAAGGGUAUUCCUACAUAGAUGGUGGGACCCACGACAAUUGGAUCAUAAAGUCUUCAAAAAAGAAUAGAUACGAUUGCAUUGCAUGUAGUAACGAAUGCGAUCAUACCAGCACUAAUGCACCAGAUCCCAUCAAAACUCCGCAGUUAAGCGUGCUUGGGCGAGAGUACUACUAGGAUGGGUGACCUCCAGGAAAGUCCUCCUGUUGCAUCCCUCAUUUUUUGAUUUUUCGAUUUUUCUUUUGUCAAAAAUGUAUGACUCAAUAACUUUUAGACCG